This 251-nucleotide ribosomal RNA is filed under the name uncultured bacterium. Its description in RNAcentral is "partial 16S ribosomal RNA". It matches the Rfam family "Bacterial small subunit ribosomal RNA", at positions 524 to 775 of the family's 1533-position model. The record is from RNAcentral.
UACGUAGGUGGCAAGCGUUGUCCGGAUUUAUUGGGUUUAAAGGGUGCGUAGGCGGUCUCUAAGUCAGUGCUGAAAUAUCCCGGCUUAACCGGGAGGGUGGCAUUGAUACUGGGAGACUUGAGUAAAGUUGAGGUAGGCGGAAUUGACGGUGUAGCGGUGAAAUGCGUAGAGAUCGGGAGGAACACCAGUGGCGAAGGCGGCUACCUGGACCAGCACUGACACUGAGGCACGAAAGCGUGGGGAGCAAACAG